GGCGAGUGACGCGGCAACGCUCAAUUUGAAUCUGGCUCUCGGGCCCGAGUUGUAAUUUGUAGAGGAUACUUUUGAUGCGGUGCCUUCCGAGUUCCCUGGAACGGGACGCCAUAGAGGGUGAGAGCCCCGUCUGGUUGGAUGCCAAAUCUCUGUAAAGUUCCUUCAACGAGUCGAGUAGUUUGGGAAUGCUGCUCUAAAUGGGAGGUAUAUGUCUUCUAAAGCUAAAUACCGGCCAGAGACCGAUAGCGCACAAGUAGAGUGAUCGAAAGAUGAAAAGCACUUUGAAAAGAGAGUUAAAAAGUACGUGAAAUUGUUGAAAGGGAAGCGUUUAUGACCAGACUUGGGCUUGGUUAAUCAUCUGGGGUUCUCCCCAGUGCACUUUUCCAGUCCAGGCCAGCAUCAGUUUUCCCCGGGGGAUAAAGGCGGCGGGAAUGUGGCUCUCUUCGGGGAGUGUUAUAGCCCACCGUGUAAUACCCUGGGGGGGACUGAGGUUCGCGCAUCUGCAAGGAUGCUGGCGUAAUGGUCAUCAACGACCCGUCUUGAAACACGGACCAAGGAGUCGUCUUCGUAUGCGAGUGUUCGGGUGUCAAACCCCUACGCGUAAUGAAAGUGAACGCAGGUGAGAGCUUCGGCGCAUCAUCGACCGAUCCUGAUGUUCUCGGAUGGAUUUGAGUAAGAGCAUACGGGCCGGACCCGAAAGAAGGUGAACUAUGCCUGUAUAGGGUGAAGCCAGAGGAAACUCUGGUGGAGGCUCGCAGCGGUUCUGACGUGCAAAUCGAUCGUCAAAUAUGGGCAUGGGGGCGAAAGACUAAUCGAACCUUCUAGUAGCUGGUUCCCGCCGAA
RNAcentral lists this ribosomal RNA (843 nucleotides) under Fusarium oxysporum f. sp. vasinfectum. RNAcentral describes it as "LSU rRNA". It matches the Rfam family "Eukaryotic large subunit ribosomal RNA", at positions 88 to 965 of the family's 3401-position model. Lineage: Eukaryota; Fungi; Ascomycota; Sordariomycetes; Hypocreales; Nectriaceae. The record is from RNAcentral.